Molecule: non-coding RNA, 93 nt
Organism: Tribolium castaneum (red flour beetle)
Lineage: Eukaryota; Metazoa; Arthropoda; Insecta; Coleoptera; Tenebrionidae
Source: RefSeq, marked provisional
UCAUUAAUGUUUGGCGGAAAUCAUAACUUGCUCGCUGAUGUAAUUUUAACAGACGUCGGUCAGUUGGUUAUGAAUUCUGAUAAAUGUUUGCUC